Molecule: long non-coding RNA, 2937 nt
Organism: Pezoporus flaviventris
Lineage: Eukaryota; Metazoa; Chordata; Aves; Psittaciformes; Psittacidae
Exons: 3
Source: RefSeq, a predicted model, not a curated record
UUUUCUUUCUUUUUUUUUUUUUUUUUAAUCAUAGAAUCAUUUAGUUUGGAAAAGACCUUUAAGAUCGAGUCCAGCUAACCUAACACUGCCAUGGCCACCACUAAACCAUGUCCCUAACUACCACAUUUAUACAUCUUUUAAAUACCUCCGGGGAUGGGGACUCCACCACAUUCCUGGGCAGCCUGUCAAUGAUUGACACACCUUUUGGUGAAGGGAUGUUUCCUAAUAUCCAAUCUAAACCUCCUCUGGUGCAACUUGAGGCCAUUUCCUCUCAUUCUAUGACCUGUUACUUGGCAGAAGAGACCAACACCUACCUUGCUACAACCUCCUUUCACGUAGUUGUAAAGUGCAAUAAGGUCUCCCUUGAGCCUCACGUUGUCAUUUUCUAACUGCUGCAGAAGGUCAUGAUGGACUUCACUUUCCCAUAUUCUCAUAAUUUCCUAUCUCCGAUGAUUCUGCAACUUCUGCGAAGUAUGGUGCUUUCUGGGAGUCUUGUGGACUUUGCAAUGGCUUCAAUUAAAUGGAAGAAUUGCAACUUGCCAGCCAGUGAAUCCAUUGUCAAAAUUUUGGUUGGACUUGUCACCUUGUGCAUCCUUAACCAUGCUAAGCUGGAGAAAAGUGAUUGGCCAAAGCAUUGCAGUGACUUCCACAGUACACAAAGCCAAUUUCUGCCCUCCUUUCUACUAAUGGCUUUCCACAGGAGCUGCUCUGCCUACUGAGGGAUCCCCUCCUCUGCAGCCCCACCUACCAGCCUUAUUGAAGGCUAUGGGGUCCCAGAAGAGACCAUGCCUGAGGGUAGACGGGCACAAAGGCUCUCUAAAGAAUAUAUCCCUGGAAAUGUUAUACAGCCUGAGGAAAAUGUUCACAAUUUGGAAGGGGUUCAGGAAACAGUCAUGACGGAUACAACAGGACAAGCAAACAUACCUUGGAGAGAAAGAGAGGGAAUGCAGAGGCCCUGUUUAGCUCAACAAGAAGCAGGUAGGAGGAUGCUUUUGCUCACAGUCUACAGCUGACUGCAGGGGGGAGAUUGGCCAGAAUAAAGGGUUCUUUAGUCUGGAUGUGAACAUGUAAAAAGAUCCAGCAUUGAGGAUACGUACAUUCCAUAGUAGUUAAACACUUGAAUUGCUUACUGAAAUCUGUGGUGAAGUCAUCUGGAAAUAUCUCAGUUAAGAUCGCAUGUUCUUUAAAGUGUUUUUCAUUACAGGCAGGAGCCAGCACAGUGAAGUCCUUAAGGGCAAUAUCUAGAUGCUGAUCUCUGAGUCAAAUCCUCCCCACAACAUUUUUCCUUCCAGUCCAGCAUAUUUAUUUCACUGUCUGGCAGGAGAUGAAAAGCCACCAUUUUUGUACCUUCUGAACACAGACAGCCUCUCAGAGCCAGGAGCUGUUAGAUUUGCUUGGGAUAAGCAAUUAGUUCUGGAGUGAACUCUCCUAUGCCAUCUGCUCAUGGCUCAGCACUUAGGACUGUGCCUGCACCUGCAUCAGAGUGUAAAUUGGGUAGGUUUGUACAAUAGAGGCAGGAAAACAAGUUAAGUGUUCACAGUGGUAUCUUCUCUUUACAGAAUCUUUGAGUCCAGUUAAACAAGACUGCGUGACUUUACUUAGUAUUGCUCUUCAGCAGGACUGUAGAUGGCACGCUAAGGUCUAUCGAGUUAGUAGCACCAGAGGCAGCCUUAUUCAGACAGCCUAAGAGCAGAACAACCUCACACACAACAAAAUACUUACUUCAUAUUUAUCAGCAUGCACUCCGGAUGCACCAGUGGGCCUUAGAUGCCCUUACCAGACUUAGUGCCCUGACAACAUUUUUCCUAAUAACUUUUCAUUAACCAUAGCUUGGGAGAUGAUUUAGAUUCAGUGGACAGGCCCUUUCUGAGAAAAAAACUACCUUUAAAUCUCCUUUACUUUUAUCUUUAUACUUCUGUUGUAUUUUUAUUUAGUUACUAGUUCCAGAAAGUGUUUUAUAAGAAUUUAUUUUCUUUUCUCAGUGUCUGUAUCUGGUUAUCACAACAUAUAAUCUUUGGAUAGCAAAAGCAUAAUGGUGUUUUGAGCAGUUACAUUAAGGACUUGAUGCUAGUUAUCUAGUCCCAUCAAAUAUGAAUUUCAGCUAAACACAAGUUGUUGGAAUAAAAGAAGAUUCUUUUGUAAUUUCUGUUUUCUGAAUAUUGUGUUCAUAGUAUUAUAAAAGCCUGUAUUCUCCUCAGCUAUUUGUCUGUACUAUUAUGAAGCCUAGCUGUUCAAAGCACAGUUGGACAAUAACACAGUCUUCUCUAAAUCACUCAGGUACAUACCACAUUGCUUUAGUAAAUGUUUUAUUGUCAGAAAUGUUGGAAAGGAUCACUUGAAAAGUUCUGCUUUUUUGGCCAAAACUGAUAAAAGUGUUCAGACUGAAUAUUGAAAAGGAAGAUUACACUGAAUUAUGUACAAUUUAGGAAGGGAAAAUUAGAUACAGGUAGAAAUUUGGAUUAGAUUCUGAGUGUAGCAUAAUUUCCAAGAUAAUCACAGUAGUCAGAUAUUGUGAUAAUGCUGUCUAAUCGCAAGGACACCUGCACAUUUUACACAAACUACUUCAGAGCUAGAGCUUCUCUUCAGGGGCAUCAUCUCUACUACUUCUAUUGGGGGAAAUCUUCUAGUUCUGCGGUUGGGACACUGUGCUGUGGGGUGUGAAAAUGGGUCGGUGUCCUCUUUGGAAAUGGCAGGAAAUGAGCACAGGUUUUACACUUUCUGGCCAGAAGAUUGCUGCUGCUGCUGUCACCUGAGAAAAGGGAUUGGUCCCUCCCUACUGCUUUUAGAAAGCGGUUUGGAGAAAACGCAGGGUAGUUGGUGAAUGUCUCCUGACAACAUGGAUCCGCAUGCCACAGGGCAGGAAAUGGGCAGGACUUCAGUUCUUCCUCCUGGUACCUACCCAAACUCUCUUAGGUUGCUGACUGCUGUGAAAGCUGU